CUACGGGCGGCAGCAGUGGGGAAUAUUGGACAAUGGGGGAAACCCUGAUCCAGCAAUGCCGCGUGUGUGAAGAAGGCCUGCGGGUUGUAAAGCACUUUCGGUUGGGAGGACUGCUUCUAGCACUAAUAUUGUUGGAAGUUGACGUUACCUUCAGCAGAAGCACCGGCUAACUCCGUGCCAGCAGCGGCGGUAAUACGGAGGUGCAAGCGUUAAUCGGAAUUACUGGGCGUAAAGCGCGCGUAGGCGGCUAGAUCAGUCGGGUGUGAAAGCCCCGGGCUUAACCUGGGAACUGCAUCCGAUACUGUCUAGCUUGAGUACAGGAGAGGAGAGUGGAAUUCCACAUGUAGCGGUGAAAUGCGUAGAUAUGUGGAGGAACACCAAUGGCGAAGGCAGCUCUCUGGCCUGAUACUGACGCUGAGGUGCGAAAGCGUGGGGAGCAAACAGGAUUAGAUACCCCCGUAGUC
This 464-nucleotide ribosomal RNA is filed under the name uncultured bacterium. RNAcentral's name for it is "partial 16S ribosomal RNA". It matches the Rfam family "Bacterial small subunit ribosomal RNA", at positions 339 to 795 of the family's 1533-position model. The record is from RNAcentral.